GAUGAACGCUGUCUACAGGCUUAACACAUGCAAGUCGAGGGGAAACGCCGGGGAAGCUUGCUUCCCCGGGCGUCGACCGGCGCACGGGUGAGUAACGCGUAUCCAACCUGCCUCUGACUGAGGGAUAACCCGUCGAAAGUCGGCCUAAUACCUCAUGGCAUCGUCUGCGGGCAUCCAACGACGAUUAAAGAUUUCAUCGGUCAGGGAUGGGGAUGCGUCUGAUUAGCUUGUUGGCGGGGUAACGGCCCACCAAGGCUACGAUCAGUAGGGGUUCUGAGAGGAAGGUCCCCCACAUUGGAACUGAGACACGGUCCAAACUCCUACGGGAGGCAGCAGUGAGGAAUAUUGGUCAAUGGGCGGGAGCCUGAACCAGCCAAGUAGCGUGCAGGAUGACGGCCCUAUGGGUUGUAAACUGCUUUUAUGCGGGGAUAAAGUGAGGGACGUGUCCUUCAUUGCAGGUACCGCAUGAAUAAGGACCGGCUAAGUCCGUG
This 491-nucleotide ribosomal RNA is filed under the name uncultured bacterium. Its description in RNAcentral is "partial 16S ribosomal RNA". It matches the Rfam family "Bacterial small subunit ribosomal RNA", at positions 28 to 507 of the family's 1533-position model. The record is from RNAcentral.